This is a long non-coding RNA of Ochotona curzoniae (black-lipped pika), 98 nucleotides long. RefSeq lists it as uncharacterized. The transcript is spliced from 3 exons. NCBI's taxonomy places the organism in Eukaryota, Metazoa, Chordata, Mammalia, Lagomorpha, Ochotonidae. The record is from RefSeq and is a predicted model, not a curated record.
AGCUCUGCUUGUAGACCAGAAAUAGUCUCCCUAAGAAACUGUUGAAUUUAUCUAGACAAUAAGAUGCUGGACUCUAUGCAUGAUACAUAUUUGCAAUG